This 481-nucleotide long non-coding RNA is filed under the name Triticum aestivum (bread wheat). Its description in RNAcentral is "long non-coding RNA (TAES_LNC002246)". The record is from RNAcentral. Lineage: Eukaryota; Viridiplantae; Streptophyta; Magnoliopsida; Poales; Poaceae.
ACGACCAAGGAUGGCUGUGCAUCCCGACGCCUCUCUUCUCCGUUGAUCCCCCAUAUCCUCUACGUGAAUCUUCUCCAGAAGGUAUCCCUCUCCUCUCCGACGAGUACUCGCUUCCUUACAGGCACGUAGUAUGGGCUGACUGUCAGGGUCCUGACACGGGCUCUCCUUGUCUUGAUCUGAUCUUGAUGCUACUCGGUCUAUCUAUAAUGUUUGUUUCCUGUGUUUACAUGGCAGAGUGAUUGCUGCACUGGCUUUUGGCUACCGAUGCAAGUUGGGAACUCAUUCAGUGAUUUGAGGGUGCAGGCAGAGAUGAUGCUGCGGAUGGGAUGGGAAGAUGUGUGUGUGCUAGCUGCCAUUGCAUGGACUUUAUUUUUCGGAUAGUUCAGCGUCUUAUUACAAAUCUGAUAGUGCUAUCUGCCACACAUACACCAUGCUACGAAUCUAUUUACAUACGACUCAGAGAAAGAAUUGCUUUGCAGGU